AACUACAUCUUUAUUUUCCAUAAUUUUCACUAUAUUCCUCCCAGUUGCAACUUUAUCAUGAUUGAGUUGUGGUUUUGUGCUAUACAAUGUAACUUGAUAUGUCACAGUGUGGUUCUUACCAUACAAUGCGACAGUUUUAACGUUUAUUUCACAAUAAACAUACUGUAACUAAAAAUAAAUAAAUAAAAUAAAAACUUUCUUUGGGAGGUGAACUAUCCCUUUAAAUCUUCUAAGCUCUGAAAGAGCAACCUGUUAGCACUAACAUUUUCCUUUAGGCCUAACUCUAGUCCCAAACUAAGCCUAAAGUCUGGGUCGAAGAUGGGAAUGUCUUUAUCAAGGAUGUUAGUCCAGGAGCAAACGCUACAUGGCAAAAUCAAGAUCACUGAAGAUGUUACUGGUCCCUUAAUCCUCCACUUAUAUGUUUGACCUUUCACUUCAGUGCAACAAGUCAAAGAAAAGGCUUUAAAAUGUGCGAGUCAAAUGAGGAGAGGACUUUUUACCACCACACACCGAAAUGUUAUGCAACAGUCCCUAAGCCACACUCCCAUGUGUCCACAUGGACCUUUGAGAAAGCAAGCGAGUGAAUAAAAGGACAAGAUGAUCAAUAUUAGAAGCAGAUGUUGUGGAUGAGAGUCCUGCUGUGGCCGUUGUGGAGGUCACUGGAGGUUUCGGCUGUGGCUCUUAAUGGAGGAGGACACUCAAAGAAAUAUACGGUCAAGUGGUCAGAUCUGCUUUUCUUUUAUGAGUAGGGUAUGCUUGUGAAUCUCUCUGCUGUCUAUUUUGUGUCUUUCUGGAGAACUGAUCCAAGAGGGAAAAGUGUGAUUUAACAUUCAUGAAUUAUGUUUUUUUGUGGAUCUCUGAUGGGAAAUUUUUCUUUAGCCCACAGGUGGUGUUUUUGAUUUACUUGGAUGCACUUUGAGCCAAACUUGUUGGAAAUCCCCAAAUUAUCAUUUGCUGCUAAUGAAUAGAAGAGCGGGAAAAUAUUCCCAUGUCUAGAUGUGCCAAGCUGAUAGACUCCUAUCCAAACAGUGUUGUAAAAAAAAAUAAAAGGGUGCUUCAACUACAACGCUUGCUGUGUUGCAUCCAGACGCUCGGGCCAAGUAAGAGCUGUUUCGCUGGAGGACUGUGGCUGUGAGGGAUGUUUUGUGUGCUGUCCAGAGGCUGUAAAUACCAGCAGAGCAAGAGUGGUUUAUUUACUUUGGCUGAGACCUCAGCAGCUCAAACCCGAGACACGGAAAGAAGCUCUGAUAAUCCUACUUCUCUGGAACAUUUGUCUCUGUGACUGAGCUUUUGGUUUCUAGAUCCAGCCCUAGAGGAACAGAGAUAGAGAUGAGGAGUGAUAGCAUGAUGAAUCUGGACUGUCUCUCUCUGUCUCUGCGUCCUGAGGAGACGCAUGACUGACAGCAAAUUCACAGCUGUGAAUAGAGCCGAUUUAUAUGGCGGGGACAGAGUUUUACAGAGACCGUUGUGUAUAUAAUCCAUCAAAGUGUCUCCCCCUUUAUGAACCGGGAGUUUUUUGUUGAAGUGUGUUUAAUAUUAAUAUGCAUUUAAUGUUAUUUAUUCAUUCUUUUGUCCAAUUAUUGAAUAUUAUUAAAAUAGGACUGUCAAAGUUAAUAUUAAAGCAAGAUUAAAUGUU
Molecule: long non-coding RNA, 1636 nt
Organism: Megalobrama amblycephala (Wuchang bream)
Lineage: Eukaryota; Metazoa; Chordata; Actinopteri; Cypriniformes; Xenocyprididae
Exons: 5
Source: RefSeq, a predicted model, not a curated record